UAAACCAUGCACCGAAGCUGCGGCAGCGAACGUAUCACUUAAAGCGAUUCAGCGGGUUACGAUUGACGGAGCGAAGCGACGUCAAAGCGUAUACAAAGUCGAGUCGGUUUAAGGAUACGUUCGUUGGGUAGGGGAGCGUUCUGUAAGCCUGUGAAGGUGGCCUGUGAGGGUUGCUGGAGGUAUCAGAAGUGCGAAUGCUGACAUAAGUAACGAUAAAGCGGGUGAAAAGCCCGAUCGCCGGAAGACCAAGGGUUCCUGUCCAAAGUUAAACGGAAGACCAAGGGUUCCUGUCCAACGUUAAUCGGGGCAGGGUGAGUCGACCCCUAAGGCGAGGCCGAAAGGCGUAGUCGAUGGGAAACGGGUUAAUAUUCCCGUACUUGGUGUUACUGCGAAGGGGGGACGGAGAAGGCUAUGUUGGCCGGGCGACGGUUGUCCCGGUUUAAGCGUGUAGGUGUGUGUUCCAGGUAAAUCCGGUUCACUUUAACACUGAGGCGUGAUGACGAGGCACUACGGUGCUGAAGCAACAAAUGCCCUGCUUCCAGGAAAAGCCUCUAAGCAUCAGGUAACAUCAAAUCGUACCCCAAACCGACACAGGUGGUCAGGUAGAGAAUACCAAGGCGCUUGAGAGAACUCGGGUGAAGGAACUAGGCAAAAUGGUGCCGUAACUUCGGGAGAAGGCACGCUGACACGUAGGUGAAGUGAUUUACUCAUGGAGCUGAAGUCAGUCGAAGAUACCAGCUGGCUGCAACUGUUUAUUAAAAACACAGCACUGUGCAAACACGAAAGUGGACGUAUACGGUGUGACGCCUGCCCGGUGCCGGAAGGUUAAUUGAUGGGGUCAGCGCAAGCGAAGCUCCUGAUCGAAGCCCCGGUAAACGGCGGCCGUAACUAUAACGGUCCUAAGGUAGCGAAAUUCCUUGUCGGGUAAGUUCCGACCUGCACGAAUGGCGUAAUGAUGGCCAGGCUGUCUCCACCCGAGACUCAGUGAAAUUGAACUCGCUGUGAAGAUGCAGUGUACCCGCGGCAAGACGGAAAGACCCCGUGAACCUUUACUAUAGCUUGACACUGAACAUUGAGCCUUGAUGUGUAGGAUAGGUGGGAGGCUUUGAAGUGUGGACGCCAGUCUGCAUGGAGCCGACCUUGAAAUACCACCCUUUAAUGUUUGAUGUUCUAACGUGGACCCGUAAUCCGGGUUGCGGACAGUGUCUGGUGGGUAG
This 1217-nucleotide ribosomal RNA is filed under the name Salmonella enterica subsp. enterica serovar Agona str. 46.E.09. RNAcentral describes it as "bacterial LSU rRNA". It matches the Rfam family "Bacterial large subunit ribosomal RNA", at positions 1183 to 2268 of the family's 2925-position model. The record is from RNAcentral. Lineage: Bacteria; Pseudomonadati; Pseudomonadota; Gammaproteobacteria; Enterobacterales; Enterobacteriaceae.